AGAGUUUGAUCAUGGCUCAGGAUGAACGCUAGCUACAGGCUUAACACAUGCAAGUCGAGGGGCAGCAUUGGAGUAGCAAUACUUCAGAUGGCGACCGGCGCACGGGUGAGUAACACGUAUCCAACCUGCCGCUUACUCGGGGAUAGCCUUUCGAAAGAAAGAUUAAUACCCGAUGGUAUAAAGAGUUCGCAUGUUCUCUUUAUUAAAGAAUUUCGGUAAGCGAUGGGGAUGCGUUCCAUUAGAUAGUUGGCGGGUAACGGCCCACCAAGUCUACGAUGGAUAGGGGUUCUGAGAGGAAGGUCCCCCACAUUGGAACUGAGACACGGUCCAAACUCCUACGGGAGGCAGCAGUGAGGAAUAUUGGUCAAUGGACGCGAGUCUGAACCAGCCCAAGUAGCGUGAAGGAUGACUGCCCUAUGGGUUGUAAACUUCUUUUAUAAGGGAAUAAAGUGAGGGACGUGUCCCUUUUUGUAUGUACCUUAUGAAUAAGGAUCGGCUAACUCCGUGCCAGCCGCCGC
This 518-nucleotide ribosomal RNA is filed under the name uncultured bacterium. RNAcentral's name for it is "bacterial SSU rRNA". It matches the Rfam family "Bacterial small subunit ribosomal RNA", at positions 8 to 518 of the family's 1533-position model. The record is from RNAcentral.